This 131-nucleotide small nucleolar RNA is filed under the name Tupaia belangeri (northern tree shrew). The record is from RNAcentral. Lineage: Eukaryota; Metazoa; Chordata; Mammalia; Scandentia; Tupaiidae.
CCUGGCCUUUUCUGAAGCUGCAGCUACUUCAAGUAGCUGCUGGGGUCAAAGAGGAGCGAGUGUCACUUUCCUCUGAAGGUCACUGUUUGGUUUGCGAUAGCUGAUCUGUAACAUUGAGGGUAAAGACAGAA